This 497-nucleotide ribosomal RNA is filed under the name uncultured bacterium. RNAcentral describes it as "partial 16S ribosomal RNA". It matches the Rfam family "Bacterial small subunit ribosomal RNA", at positions 28 to 507 of the family's 1533-position model. The record is from RNAcentral.
GAUGAACGCUGGCGGCGUGCCUAAUACAUGCAAGUCGAGCGAACAGACGAGGAGCUUGCUCCUCUGACGUUAGCGGCGGACGGGUGAGUAACACGUGGAUAACCUACCUAUAAGACUGGGAUAACUUCGGGAAACCGGAGCUAAUACCGGAUAAUAUAUUGAACCGCAUGGUUCAAUAGUGAAAGACGGUUUUGCUGUCACUUAUAGAUGGAUCCGCGCCGCAUUAGCUAGUUGGUAAGGUAACGGCUUACCAAGGCAACGAUGCGUAGCCGACCUGAGAGGGGGAGCGGCCACACUGGAACUGAGACACGGUCCAGACUCCUACGGGAGGCAGCAGUAGGGAAUCUUCCGCAAUGGGCGAAAGCCUGACGGAGCAACGCCGCGUGAGUGAUGAAGGUCUUCGGAUCGUAAAACUUUGUUAUUAGGGAAGAACAAAUGUGUAAGUAACUAUGCACGUCUUGACGGUACCUAAUCAGAAAGCCACGGCUAACUACGUG